UAAAACCUAUUUAAAAUGGCGGCAUUUCAUCUUAUUAGAGGAACUUGUUUUAUAAUCGAUAAUCCCCGAUAAUUUUCACUUUAAUUAAAAAUUUAUAUACCGCCAUCUAAAGAAUUAAUUUUUAAUAUUAUUCUAAAUAAAAUAUAAAAAGUUAGGUCAAGGUGUAAUCUAUAUUAAAGUAAACAAUGAGUUACUUUAAAAACAAUUUAAGGAUUCUUUAACAUAAAUUUUCUCUUGAAAAAGGAUUUAAAAGUAAUAUUAUAUAUUAAUAUUUUAAU
Molecule: ribosomal RNA, 278 nt
Filed under: Lycosidae gen.3 sp. NM-2005
Lineage: Eukaryota; Metazoa; Arthropoda; Arachnida; Araneae; Lycosidae
Description: partial 12S ribosomal RNA
Source: RNAcentral